CGCAUCUGUGCAUGCAGCAUAUCAAUAAGCGGAGGAAAAGAAACUAACAAGGAUUCCCUAGUAACGGCGAGUGAAGCGGGAAGAGCUCAAAUUUGAAAUCUUCAAGGGUUUACCUUUACGAAUUGUAGUUUAAAGAAGUGUUUUCUGUUGAGGUUUUGGUAAAAGUUCUUUGGAAUAGGACAUCAUAGAGGGUGAGAAUCCCGUAUUUGACCUUUACUUUCAACUCUGUGAUACACUUUCAAAGAGUCGGAUUGUUUGGGAAUGCAGUCCAAAAUGGGUGGUAAAUUUCAUCUAAAGCUAAAUAUUGGCGAGAGACCGAUAGCGAACAAGUACCGUGAGGGAAAGAUGAAAAGAACUUUGAAAAGAGAGUUAAACAGUACGUGAAAUUGUCAAAAGGGAAGCGUUUGACACCAGUGUUGUUUUCUGAAAAUCAAUUAAAAUGACUGAUUUAUGCUAGUUGUUGAGACUUUAAUCAAGCUAACUGUUAAUUUUUGAGUCUUUUCUUUAAUGCACUUUUCAGUUAACAAGUCAACAUCAGUUUCUUUCGUUGUAAAAGGGUCAUUGGAAGGUGGCUUUCUUUUCGGAGAAAGUGUUUAUAGCCUCUUGGCCUAUGCAAUCGGAGAGAUUGAGGUCUGCAGCGUAGACUCCUUCGGGGCUAGAUACAUUUGUGCUAAGUUAUAGCAUUUUAUAGACAACUUGUUGACUAUAAUUAGUCUUGUAGCUUACUCGCUUAUGUUAUUUUACCUACGCUUAGGAUGUUGAUAGUCACAGCGUGUAC
RNAcentral lists this ribosomal RNA (778 nucleotides) under uncultured Neocallimastigales. Its description in RNAcentral is "partial large subunit ribosomal RNA". It matches the Rfam family "Eukaryotic large subunit ribosomal RNA", at positions 26 to 642 of the family's 3401-position model. Lineage: Eukaryota; Fungi; Neocallimastigomycota; Neocallimastigomycetes; Neocallimastigales. The record is from RNAcentral.